Long non-coding RNA from Crotalus tigris (Tiger rattlesnake), 969 nucleotides. RefSeq lists it as uncharacterized. The transcript is spliced from 4 exons. NCBI's taxonomy places the organism in Eukaryota, Metazoa, Chordata, Lepidosauria, Squamata, Viperidae. The record is from RefSeq and is a predicted model, not a curated record.
UUCGUGGAAUAUACAGAACCACCUGCAACUUUUAAGUAAAACAAUUCAAUAAUAAGGAAAAUGCUGAACACCAGGUUCCAGCACCACAAAACCUCUUUUCCACAGUUAUUAUGAAGCUUCAUUCUUCUUGAACAAAUGGCAACAAGAAAAUCCAAGUGUUGAUUCACUUGAGAAAACUACCAAAGUACUGCAAAACAUUUCAGCGUCAAACAUCUUGCUGACUAAUUAGAAAAAACACGCAGUAAGCUCACAAACAUGUAAAUCCCUACUUAACUACUUUUUCCUAGGAACUCCUAGCAAAAAGAGUGAAUGCUUUUCUCCAUUGCUCACAAAUUUUACAACAGUAAUUUGGAAUAGAGCUGCAGUCAUUGUGACAUCAGAACUAGCUCUAUGGCAGAUUCCCUCUCAACUCAUAGAUACCCUACAAGAACACAGAAAUCAGGAAACUUGAGAAGGAAUCUUCUGGAUGAAUCUUGGGCCGCCUUAUUUCUUCCCAGUUUCUGCUACUCAAAUGAUUAGAGGUGACAUCAACGAUUGAUCUUCAUGUCUGAGAAUAAUCACUAUGAAUAGGACUGAAAUGCAACUGUGAUGGAAUGUAGCCUGGAUUCUCAGGAACUCUGCAUUGAAUAUAGAGGAUAACCCUGAGGGAGAGAAGGAAAAUCUGUUACCAAAACCACAGUCAGAUGAAUGAGGCUUGAGCCCAGACCAAAAACAUGGUUUAUGAAAAUGACUCCUCAGAUAUGAAGAUAAGAGGGAAGAAGGGAAGCAUGUUCAGACUUGUAAGUUUCUUUUACUGUAACCCUAUAAUAAAAGUAGUAUUAGUAACUUUGGCUUCCUAGCCCAGUCUGCCUUUGCAAGAUUUUAUGACUAUAGCUGUUCUAAUAAAAGAAGCUUUAGAUCUACAUGGUGUGUGUUUCAUAGUCUGACCAAUUCAUAUAGGAUUGAAAAUUAACAUUAAAUCAACAAUCA